RNAcentral lists this ribosomal RNA (1387 nucleotides) under Lactiplantibacillus plantarum subsp. plantarum. Its description in RNAcentral is "bacterial SSU rRNA". It matches the Rfam family "Bacterial small subunit ribosomal RNA", at positions 67 to 1424 of the family's 1533-position model. Lineage: Bacteria; Bacillati; Bacillota; Bacilli; Lactobacillales; Lactobacillaceae. The record is from RNAcentral.
CUGGUAUUGAUUGGUGCUUGCAUCAUGAUUUACAUUUGAGUGAGUGGCGAACUGGUGAGUAACACGUGGGAAACCUGCCCAGAAGCGGGGGAUAACACCUGGAAACAGAUGCUAAUACCGCAUAACAACUUGGACCGCAUGGUCCGAGCUUGAAAGAUGGCUUCGGCUAUCACUUUUGGAUGGUCCCGCGGCGUAUUAGCUAGAUGGUGGGGUAACGGCUCACCAUGGCAAUGAUACGUAGCCGACCUGAGAGGGUAAUCGGCCACAUUGGGACUGAGACACGGCCCAAACUCCUACGGGAGGCAGCAGUAGGGAAUCUUCCACAAUGGACGAAAGUCUGAUGGAGCAACGCCGCGUGAGUGAAGAAGGGUUUCGGCUCGUAAAACUCUGUUGUUAAAGAAGAACAUAUCUGAGAGUAACUGUUCAGGUAUUGACGGUAUUUAACCAGAAAGCCACGGCUAACUACGUGCCAGCAGCCGCGGUAAUACGUAGGUGGCAAGCGUUGUCCGGAUUUAUUGGGCGUAAAGCGAGCGCAGGCGGUUUUUUAAGUCUGAUGUGAAAGCCUUCGGCUCAACCGAAGAAGUGCAUCGGAAACUGGGAAACUUGAGUGCAGAAGAGGACAGUGGAACUCCAUGUGUAGCGGUGAAAUGCGUAGAUAUAUGGAAGAACACCAGUGGCGAAGGCGGCUGUCUGGUCUGUAACUGACGCUGAGGCUCGAAAGUAUGGGUAGCAAACAGGAUUAGAUACCCUGGUAGUCCAUACCGUAAACGAUGAAUGCUAAGUGUUGGGAGGGUUUCCGCCCUUCAGUGCUGCAGCUAACGCAUUAAGCAUUCCGCCUGGGGGAGUACGGCCGCAAGGCUGAAACUCAAAGGAAUUGACGGGGGCCCGCACAAGCGGUGGAGCAUGUGGUUUAAUUCGAAGCUACGCGAAGAACCUUACCAGGUCUUGACAUACUAUGCAAAUCUAAGAGAUUAGACGUUCCCUUCGGGGACAUGGAUACAGGUGGUGCAUGGUUGUCGUCAGCUCGUGUCGUGAGAUGUUGGGUUAAGUCCCGCAACGAGCGCAACCCUUAUUAUCAGUUGCCAGCAUUAAGUUGGGCACUCUGGUGAGACUGCCGGUGACAAACCGGAGGAAGGUGGGGAUGACGUCAAAUCAUCAUGCCCCUUAUGACCUGGGCUACACACGUGCUACAAUGGAUGGUACAACGAGUUGCGAACUCGCGAGAGUAAGCUAAUCUCUUAAAGCCAUUCUCAGUUCGGAUUGUAGGCUGCAACUCGCCUACAUGAAGUCGGAAUCGCUAGUAAUCGCGGAUCAGCAUGCCGCGGUGAAUACGUUCCCGGGCCUUGUACACACCGCCCGUCACACCAUGAGAGUUUGUAACACCCAA